UAUUUCAGACCCUAUUAAGAUAGAUGGACGACAUGCGAUCUACAAAAGAGCUGUAGGAGAACUAGGAGCGAUAAAGAUAAUGCCCGUCCCAGAAGAUGGAGGUACAGGCUUUGGUCUUAGUGCUAUUGAUCCAGACGAAUCCAACGAAGAUAAAGAACAAUAAAACUU
Long non-coding RNA from Mytilus trossulus (common blue mussel), 168 nucleotides. RefSeq lists it as uncharacterized. NCBI's taxonomy places the organism in Eukaryota, Metazoa, Mollusca, Bivalvia, Mytilida, Mytilidae. The record is from RefSeq and is a predicted model, not a curated record. The transcript has 3 exons.